Molecule: long non-coding RNA, 4850 nt
Filed under: Homo sapiens (human)
Lineage: Eukaryota; Metazoa; Chordata; Mammalia; Primates; Hominidae
Description: non-protein coding lnc-PSMC3IP-3:5
Source: RNAcentral
UCGGCCCCAGCCUCGGCCUUUGCCGGAACGUCGCCGAACACUUCCCGGUGCAUGGCGGUGACGUAGUUGGAGCCGCUGGGGUCGUCCAGGCGCAUCCGCAGCAGGGGCAGGAAGCGCUCGGUGGUGAAGUAGCGCAGGGUCGGCUUCGGGGCGCGCAAAGCGGUGAGGAAGACCUGCGGCGGCGGGAGGAGAGCUGUGGCCACCGCUGCGCGCCGGAGGACGCACCGCCCCCACUCCUGGAGUCCAGCCCGGCGCUCACCUCCGCCACCUCCUCAGGGUUCUGCGCCGCCUCGCGAAAGACUUGCUUGCUGUGGGCGAGGUAUUGGUAGAAGCGGUGGAAGGUGUGGAUGUCCGUGCGGUCCAGCACCUCCUCUGGGCUGCCCAACACCUUCUCCAUGAAGGCGGUGUGCACUGGGCCGCACUCGAUCAGGCUCAAGCUGCUGGCCGGAGAGCAACGAGUGGGAGGGGGCGGACGCCAGCCAGGCCCCAGUCCCAGCCCCAACCCCAGUCCCAGCCCCAACCACGUCCCGGCCCCCGACCGCGAGCAGCACCGCUGCGCUGGGAAGUGAGGCGGAAAGGGCGCUGGGGAUAACCAGAACAUUUGAAACGCGGGUUCCUGCCGGAGCAGCCCUCCCAAAUCCAUCUGAGGCUACAAGGGAGCCCUGGUGUCAGGAUUCGAAUCUAGCGGGGUCCCUGGCCGCUGUGUGACCUUGGGCCAGUCACCUAACCUCUCUGGGCUGGAGCUUCCCCAUAACAAUACCAACACUUCAGCAGCUAGGUCAGCAGGUGGCACAAUGCGUGCCAUGCGCCCAGCCCAAGUGCCUGGCACACAGCUAAUGUGAGCCGGGCAGAGAGGGCCAGGGAGAUCGCCCCAGAGCGGCUCCCGCAGGACAGGGUGCUCGGCGUCUCUAGGUCAGAGUUAAGAGGGUUCGGGGAACGGGGGUGUUGACUCACUGGACCCCAAAGGGCAGCAGCAGAACCGCCAGACUCUCGCAUAAGCCUUCGAGCGCGAACUUGCUGGCGCAAUAAACGUCAUUGAAAGGCAGCCCUUAGGUGGGGAGACGAGGUUCCUGAGGCGCAGCGGCCAGGGGGUCAUCCCCGGGCAGACGGUGCCCCUCCAAGCUGACGGCACCCCACUCCACCCCCCCCGCGGAACCUGCCUUCAAGGCUCAGCUCCGCACACAAAGAAUCUGGAGCUGCCGAGGCCACUCCCUACCACUCACCCAUCAAUCCUCCCACGCUCCCGGUCACCAACACGCGUCCCGAACCGCGCCUCUUCAUGUCUGGCAGGAAGGCCUGCAGCAUCCGCACAGUCCCUACUACAUUCACGUCCAGCACAGAGGCCACGGCGUCCUCCCCCAGCGCCUCCAGCGGCCCCAGCAGGCCCAGGCCUGCGUUACACACUGCGGAGACAAGAGGCCCGACCAGCCCGCCUCAGCAUCACCCUCAGCACGGCCUGUCCCCUCGUGCUCCCUGGGCCUGGGAACAUGUUGGUUUCAACGCAGGGCGGAGAAGGCUCCUAGGAGCCCAUAUGCUUCCAGGAGGCUCACCCAGCACGUCCACGCGGCCCUCAGUCACGCGUUCCCGGGCAGCGGCCACGGAUUUUGAGUCCCUUACGUCCAGCUGCAACGUCUCCAGGGAUCCCGGAGGGCAUGCCAGGGCCCGGGCCGCCUCCCACAGCCGGCCCUGUGUUUUCAGGUCCCUCAACGUGGCAUACACUGGAGGUUUUGGGAGAGGAGGAAGAUCUGACUUCCCUUCUGGCCUCCAAGGGCUCCUCCCUUCUCUCCCUCCCUGUCCCUGCCUAUCUAUACCUUUGAAGCUCUGGGAUGGAUCUGAAGCCAGACGUACGGCCAAGUGCAGGCCGAUGCCCGAGGAACAGCCGGUGAUGAGCACCACGGUGCGGGCCAUGGUGAGACUGUGGGGAGAGGCUGGGGCUCUGGGCUUGAUAUCACCUGCUUCGCCCCGCCCCGCCUGCGGGCCCCCACCCCUUGUUGUGUCUCCCACGCAAUCUCAAGGAUAAGCCUUCCUGCGGGUCCCUGGCCCGCUCUCCCCACCCUGUUCUGAGCCAAAACAGACAUGAGCCCACUGCUUGGAACAACAAACUGUCCUGGUUGCUGGUCAGAGGGAGGGGAGGCUUUACAAGCAGGUGUGGGUUCCCACGUGGGCACAGAGUGGCCCCCUGGGCAGAUUCCCCUGGGUAUGCCUCUGUGCCACAGGAGCGAUUAUAGUGACCGCAGUUUGCUGCAGAGGCUGUGAAAGUAAAGGCGUUGGGAGGUGGGAGAUGAUUGUAUAUGUGCUGGUUUCGUCCAGGGUUCCUAGCUCAUAACUCACAUGACCAUGGUUACAGUCUUACGUUGUCAUGUUGGGGUGCCUCAGGCCUCAAAAAACAGCCUUUCGUCUCUCUGACCUUCUCCUGUCCUCUUUUCAGCUGCCCAAGGCAGGACUCUAAUCUGAUUGUGGGUUGUAGGAUCCUCAUUCCAGAGUGGGUCCUUGCCCCAUACCCUGGAGAAAGGAAUGCUGCACAAAGGCCCAAAGAAUCUGGACUGGCCUUGCUGGGCUUAGAUCAGACCCUUUUUGCCCAAUCACAUUAUCACAGUUGUCCAUGCUUCAGUCAUGGACAGCCAAUGGAGUUCUCCAUAAAAGGCCCAAAGGACAGGGUUCGGGAGCUUCUGAGGGCUGAACGUGUGGAGGCUGACAGAAUGUGCCCAGAGGGUGACGUAACCCCAACUCUAUGGAGAUAGAAGCUCCUGCUCUGGACCCUUCCAGACCGCCCUGUCUGUAUCUCUUCAUAUGGCUGUUUAUUUCUAUCCUUUAAAAUAUGCUUUGAGGCUGGGCACGGUGGCUCAUGCCUGUAAUCCCAGCACUUUGGGAGGCCCAGGAAAGGGGAUUGUUGGAGCCCAGGAGUUCAAGACCAGGCCAGGUAACAGAGUGAGACCCGGUCUCUGCAAAAAAUAUUAAAAAGCUUCCCAAGUAGCCGGGACUACAGGUGUGUGCCAUCACUGCCACCAUACCCAGCUAAUUUUUUGACUUUUUUGUAGAGACGGGGUCUCACUUUGUUUCCCAGGCUUUUUUUUAUUUUUGAGACAAAGUAUUGCUUAGGUUGGAGUGCAGUGUCUUAAUCUUGGCUCACUGCAUCCUGCAUCUGCCUGGUUCAGGCGAUUCUCCUGCAUCAGCCUCCCGAGUAGCUGGGAUUACAGGCACCCGCCACCACGCCCAGCUAAUUUUUAGUAUUUUUAGUAGAGACGGAGUUUCACCAUGUUGGCCAGGCUGGUCUCAAACCCCUGAUGUCAAGCGAUCUGCCCACCUCAGCCUCCCAAAGUGCUCGGAUUAUAAAAAAGUGCCACCCCACCUGGCCCUGUCAUUUUUAGAAGAUUAUUUUAUUUUGAGACGGAGUUUCGCGCUUCUUGCCCAGGCUGGAGUGCUGUGGCACGAUUCUGGCUCACUGCAACCUCCACCUCCCGGGUUCAAGCAGUUCUCCUGUCUCAGCCUCCCAAGUAGUUGGGAUUACAGACACGUCCCACCACAUCCGGCUAAUUUUUGUAUUUUUAGUAGAGAUGGGGUUUCUCCCUGUUGGUGAGGAUGGUCUUGAACUCCCAACCUAAGGGGAUCAGCCAGCCUCCACCUCCCAAAGUGCUGGUAUUACAGGCGUGAGCCACUGUGCCCAUCCUAAAAGAUCAUUUUAACUGCUCUGGGGUAAUUUCACUGCUGAUGGGCAGGAGUGGAAUCAAGAAAACUAGUUAGGAGGCUACUGCUGUAAUUGAAGGGAGAGAUGACAGUGUGCAGUCUGGAAUAGGGUGAUUUGGGGAUAUGCUUUGAUGAGCAAAGGUAGAGCUGUCAGUAUUUGCUGCUGAAUUGGUUGAAAGGUGAGAGAGACUGGAGUCAAGGACUACUCCAGGGUUUUUAAAACCAGUAUUGGGAAAAAUGGAGUUGUCAUAUAGUAAAGUAGAGAAGACUGGGGGAGGAGCCGGUAGGAGGACUGGAAAUGUGGAAUUGGGGUUUAGACACAUUAAGUUCAUUGUAUCAGGUGGACGUGUUGUAUUGAGUAGGCAGUUGGAGAUACAGACCUGGAGUCUGUGGGAGACAGUGGGGUUUCUUUGGUGGGGGGGUCAUCGGCAUCUAAGUGCUAUUCGAAGUCAUGGGACUGCAGAAGAUUAUAUUAACAAUGUGAAUAUUCACAAGCUUGAAAAAAUGAAUGUACGGAAGAGAGGGGGUCACACUUUACCUCUUAUUAUCCCACCCCCAGGGGUGACCUUGUGAGCCACACCACACAGGUACACACAUGCACGCAUAUGUACACACACUGUCACAGAGGGGCAAAGGGGGUUGGCGAGAGCGGGACUGAGAGCAGAUCCCAGGCCUCAGAAACCCAUGCCACCUGGGCCCCCUCCCUGUGGCCUUCCUGGAUGCUGUAGGGAUAGCAGAUCUGUCUGGGUCAGCAGGGCAAGGCGACUGGCAGGAGGGGGUGGCUGGGAGGCCUCUUCCUCCAAGAGCAGGGGCAGCACAUCAUCCAACAGGCAGAGAAGACCCUCAUCCAGAGGUAGGGGCAGGUCAGGGUGGAGUGCCUGCCUCCUUCCCCUAGUGCCCCACACAAAGCUCCAAGAGCUCCAGCAGGCUCCUGUCUGUUUCCACUUCCCAGGCUUUCUGUGGUCAUGUCCCUGCCCACUCCAAAGGGCCAUCCCCCUCAGCCUUCCCUCCCUCUCAGACCCAGCUGAAUCCCUGCCUCGGUACCGCCCCCUCCUGGGGCACUCCUGCCCCCUUCCUCUGCUGCAUCCUCACCUAGCCUCCUAUCUGUUCACACCUCCCCUGCACCAGACCUCCACAGAAGUUCAGACAGUGGCUCUACAACCCUA